RNAcentral lists this long non-coding RNA (296 nucleotides) under Nicotiana tabacum (common tobacco). RNAcentral describes it as "long non-coding RNA (NTAB_LNC012923)". The record is from RNAcentral. Lineage: Eukaryota; Viridiplantae; Streptophyta; Magnoliopsida; Solanales; Solanaceae.
GGAGGUCGAGGCAUAGAACCCAGUUGCUGAGGAGGUGCAGGUUGUUGUGGAGAUGCAUUAUAGUAGGGACCCCGCCACCCAGGAUACGCAGGUUGGCCAUACUCGUGGCUCGGUGGUGGUUGCUGUUGAUGUUGAGGCGGUGGAUAUGGGGGACCGGAAGUUUGCAAAUGAUAAGGCGGUGUAGGCUGCUGAGGAGGACCAUAAGGUAACGGAUUUUGAGUAUAACCAGGCAUCGUGGGCUGCUGCGGGUUACCAGCCAUUGCGGGCUGCUGAGAGGGGUGGUAAGUAGGAGUCGG